UCGAGAAUCAUUCACAAUGGGGGAAACCCUGAUGGUGCGACGCCGCGUGGGGGAAUGAAGGUCUUCGGAUUGUAAACCCCUGUCAUGUGGGAGCAAAUUAAAAAGAUAGUACCACAAGAGGAAGAGACGGCUAACUCUGUGCCAGCAGCCGCGGUAAUACAGAGGUCUCAAGCGUUGUUCGGAAUCACUGGGCGUAAAGCGUGCGUAGGCGGUUUCGUAAGUCGUGUGUGAAAGGCGGGGGCUCAACCCCCGGACUGCACAUGAUACUGCGAGACUAGAGUAAUGGAGGGGGAACCGGAAUUCUCGGUGUAGCAGUGAAAUGCGUAGAUAUCGAGAGGAACACUCGUGGCGAAGGCGGGUUCCUGGACAUUAACUGACGCUGAGGCACGAAGGCAAGGGGAGCGAAAGGG
Molecule: ribosomal RNA, 410 nt
Filed under: Acidobacteriota bacterium
Lineage: Bacteria; Pseudomonadati; Acidobacteriota
Description: Acidobacteria bacterium partial 16S ribosomal RNA
Rfam family: Bacterial small subunit ribosomal RNA
Source: RNAcentral